Long non-coding RNA from Humulus lupulus (European hop), 740 nucleotides. RefSeq lists it as uncharacterized. Lineage: Eukaryota; Viridiplantae; Streptophyta; Magnoliopsida; Rosales; Cannabaceae. The record is from RefSeq and is a predicted model, not a curated record. The transcript is spliced from 2 exons.
UAUUUUCCCAUUCUUCUCACGAUUCCCCUCACCUUCUCUCUAUUUCGACCUUUGAGCUUCCCCUGUCUAUGGCGAGCUUCCCCAUCAGCACCUUCGAGCUUCCCCUAUCUGCGGCGAGCUUCCCCAUCACCACCUUCCUGCUUCCCGUCUCUCCGGCGCCGGCUAUUAUUCGACAACCGCGAUUGUGACGACGGCUCAAUCGAUGGAACCGACCUCCUAUUGAAGCAGACCUCCGAUUUCUUUUUCUUCCCUAAGGAUGGAGUUGACCUCUGAUUUCCAAUAUAGCUAUUUUAGAAGCUUGCUUUCUUAUAGUAAGCUCUACCGAGAGUGCCUUCGCAGAGCUAAGUAUAUUGGUCACAGGGUAAUUUUUUUCUUCAAAAUUGAUUUAUUUAUUGGUCACAGGGUGUUUGCCACAUCAACUCCAAAGAAUUUUGAUGUCUUUUAUCCUUACUUACAUCUGUUGUUUCCACUUUCAUAUCUCCAUGACUUUCCUAAAUCAAUGAAAGCCAAUUCCUUAGACCAAAGUUAUGUAUAAUAUGUUAUAAGAAAAUGUUUAGUUAUCACCCAUAUUAGAGAGAAAGAGAGAAAUCAGGCUCUCCUAGAUCUACAUAUAAUCUUCUUAAUCUCAAUAGACAGACCAAAUUGGUUAUAAAAUCUGGUAUGCAAAUGAGACCCUUAUAGUUUAAUGAAUAAUACCUUCUACAUACUCUAAGGCCCGUAGAGGAGAGGUUGUAUAUUGA